Molecule: small nuclear RNA, 146 nt
Organism: Lutra lutra (Eurasian river otter)
Lineage: Eukaryota; Metazoa; Chordata; Mammalia; Carnivora; Mustelidae
Product: U4 spliceosomal RNA
Exons: 1
Source: RefSeq, a predicted model, not a curated record
AGCUUUGCGCAGUGGCAGUAUCGUAGCCAAUGAGGUUCAUCCGAGGCACGAUUAUUGCUAAUAAGAAGCUUCUAAAAUGAAUGAGACACUAGAUCUAGUCUGCCUGCUUCCAUGCUGAGUCAAAAAAAUGGAAAAUCCCUUAGGGA